UUUAAGAAUAAUAGUUACAAUCUUGAAAAAAUAAAUGACAUUCAUAAAGAAUAAGGAAUUACAUAUUAUUAGAUAACUAAAAUUCUUGUAGAAUAACACUUUUGAAAAAAAAUACAUUCUUAAGAGUAAUACAUGAAAGAAAUAAAAUAAAAAUGCUUAAAGAAUAACAUAACAUUGUUAAUACAAACAUGCAUAUGUUGUAUUGUUCUUGAAGUGUGAGACAUAAAGUGAAGUUUUGGAUCAUUUAGUUGGUACAAAUUCAUAACUUGUUGGUAGAAGUUAUCUUUGUUCAUAACUUGUUAGCAGAAAGUAUCUUUGUUCCAUUCCUGCAAAAGAAAUAUCGCAUAUUGAAUUGUUGUAACGCAUCAUAAAGAAUUCAUGCUGGCAAAGUAAUAAGCAUAAGUAAUAAGAUUUUCAAACAAAUGUGUUCCAUUGAUUCAUAUGUAACAAUGAAGUAAACAUAUGACAGUUUUUUUUUUUUUUUUUUUUUUGAAUAGAAAGUUUGGAGGAAUUUUUUGAUGAAUUUUUUGAGAGCUUUUAUUGAAUUGGAAGGUAUCUUAUUCUACGCUUUAUUAGAAAAGUCAUUCUCAUUCCAUCGACACUUUAAAUACCCUUAUCAUGACCAAGGAACACAAUAACCAAGUCAAAAGCAAGUAUCAACAACCUCAGAUUUAGUAGAUGCAAAAGUUUAGAUUCGCUCCCCAAUUAAGUAGACAUGGGCCUUCAAUUAUGUAUUUGACUAUCCUCUGUAUCAUAACACCAUGCCUCCUCAUUAAACAACAAAAAGUUGAGCCCUAAAUCAAAUUAAAUGACAAAAACGUUAAAUCCAUAAUUGAAUUAAACCCCAAAAUUUGUUAAACAACAAAAACAUUAAACCGUAAAUGGAAUUAAACCUAACUCGAAUUGCACCUAGAAGAGAACCAAAAUACUUGCUUCACAAUAAAAAUGCAUAACAAAAUUCGAGAAAAUUAGUUGGACAAGGGCUUUUCGAGAGAUACAAACUUUGGAGGUGAGAUCAUAAAAAAUCGAUGACCUUUUAAGUUGAGGGAAACUCUCAUAAACAAGAACGACCAUUAAUCGAGAUUAUAUGGAUGUAUAAAGUAUUUUUUUUUACCAUUGAAGGAAUCUCCACCUUUCUCGUCGUCUUCGGUCUGCCCGCCUACAGAAGAUGUGUAGCUCGAAAUAUAAACUUAACGCCAACAAUUACUGAUUUGUGGAAAAAAGAAGAGGGAUGAAAGUAGGAGUCUUCAAUCUGGAUUCUGGACAAGAGUGACAAGCAAAGCAAGAUACAAAAAGGUUGUGAAUACGACAGAGAUUAAGGGUAGAGAUAAAGAGCAAGAAGCGUACAUGACGUUUCAUUCCAUGAAUAAAGACUUAUUAGUUUGAGUAAUUAAUU
This 1396-nucleotide long non-coding RNA is filed under the name Lactuca sativa (garden lettuce). RNAcentral describes it as "long non-coding RNA (LSAT_LNC003369)". The record is from RNAcentral. Lineage: Eukaryota; Viridiplantae; Streptophyta; Magnoliopsida; Asterales; Asteraceae.